This 231-nucleotide long non-coding RNA is filed under the name Mytilus galloprovincialis (Mediterranean mussel). Lineage: Eukaryota; Metazoa; Mollusca; Bivalvia; Mytilida; Mytilidae. The record is from RNAcentral.
GUACGGAAAGGAGUUAUGAUCACUGACCCAAAGGAAAUUAAAUAUUUAAAGAGUUAGGAAUGGGGUUCCUCCUAGAAUCAACGUGGAAAAUAGGUGAUAAGAAUCGAAGUGAAAUACUUCUCUCACUCUGAGUCUCUGAAUGCUGUGGAAAGUAAACUUGGAAUUGAUAGUACAAAAAUAAAACACAACAGGCCUAAGUACACUGUACAUUGUUCAUACACUUUUAACCAG